This 1135-nucleotide ribosomal RNA is filed under the name Nostoc sp. 4. RNAcentral's name for it is "bacterial SSU rRNA". It matches the Rfam family "Bacterial small subunit ribosomal RNA", at positions 36 to 1167 of the family's 1533-position model. Lineage: Bacteria; Bacillati; Cyanobacteriota; Cyanophyceae; Nostocales; Nostocaceae. The record is from RNAcentral.
CCCUCCGUAGCUUACCAUGCAGUCGAACGGAAUCUUAGGAUUUUGUGGCGGACGGGUGAGUAACGCGUGAGAAUCUGGCUCUAGGUCGGGGACAACAGUUGGAAACGGCUGCUAAUACCGGAUGUGCCGAAAGGUGAAAGAUUAAUUGCCUAGAGAUGAGCUCGCGUCUGAUUAGCUAGUUGGUGUGGUAAGAGCGCACCAAGGCGACAAUCAUUAGCUGGUCUGAAAGGAUGAUCAGCCACACUGGGACUGAAACACGGCCCAAACUCCUACGGGAGGCAGCAGUGGGGAAUUUUCCGCAAUGGGCGAAAGCCUGACGGAGCAAUACCGCGUGAGGGAGGAAGGCUCUUGGGUUGUAAACCUCUUUUCUCAAGGAAUAACUCAAUGAAGGUACUUGAGGAAUAAGCAUCGGCUAACUCCGUGCCAGCAGCCGCGGUAAUACGGAGGAUGCAAGCGUUAUCCGGAAUGAUUGGGCGUAAAGGGUCCGCAGGUGGCAUUGUGUGUCUGCUGUCAAAGAAUGAGGCUUAACCUCAUCAAGGCAGUGGAGACUACAAAGCUAGAGUACGGUCGGGGUAGAAGGAAUUCCUGGUGUAGCGGUGAAAUGCAUAUAGAUCAGGAAGAACACCGGGUGGCGAAAGCGUUCUGCUAGACCUGUACUGACACUGAGGGACGAAAGCUAGGGGAGCGAAUGUGAUUACAUACCCCCAGUAGUCCUAGCCGUAAACGAUGGAUACCAGGGCGUGGACUUGUAUCGACCCGAGCCGUGCCUGGAGCUAAACGCGUUUACGUAUCUCCGCCUGGGCGGAGUACGCCACGGCAAGUGUGAAACUCAAAGAGUGGCGGGGGACCCGCACUAGGCAGCUGGGAGUAUGUAGUUUCAUUCGAAUGCCACGGACGCAGUACCAUUAUCCUAGACUGGACAGUGUCGCGAAUUCUGCAUAGCAAGGUGCAGGAGUGCUCUGAACGUGGAGCGCCGAACCCAGGGUGGUGGCAUGGCCUGUCCGCUCAGCUUCGUUCUGGAGAGUGUGGUAGUCCGAACGGAGCGCCACCCUCGCCUUUAAGUGCUAGCAUUAGUUGCACUCUUAGGACUGCGGUGACACGAGACGUGAGAUAGCUAGUCAUAUGCUACGCUGGC